CCCUUAGAUGUUCUGGGCCGCACGCGCGCUACACUGUUCGACGCAGCGAGUCUUAACCUUGACCGAAAGGUUUGGGUAAUCUUCAGCAAAGUCGAACGUGAUGGGGAUCGAUCAUUGCAAUUAUUGAUCGUGAACGAGGAAUUCCUAGUAAGUGCAAGUCAUCAGCUUGCGCUGAUUACGUCCCUGCCCUUUGUACACACCGCCCGUCGCUACUACCGAUUGAAUGGUUUAGUGAGAUCUCUGGAUUGACGCUGGCUAGGGGGCGACCCUUGGCCAGACUGUUGAGAAACUGCUCAAACUUGAUCAUUGAGAGGAAGUAAAAGGCGUAACA
RNAcentral lists this ribosomal RNA (331 nucleotides) under uncultured eukaryote. Its description in RNAcentral is "partial 18S ribosomal RNA". It matches the Rfam family "Eukaryotic small subunit ribosomal RNA", at positions 1470 to 1796 of the family's 1831-position model. The record is from RNAcentral.